Molecule: transfer RNA, 76 nt
Filed under: Sphingomicrobium sp.
Lineage: Bacteria; Pseudomonadati; Pseudomonadota; Alphaproteobacteria; Sphingomonadales; Sphingomicrobiaceae
Also listed under: 3 other names
Description: tRNA-Asn
Rfam family: tRNA
About the family: Transfer RNA (tRNA) molecules are approximately 80 nucleotides in length. Their secondary structure includes four short double-helical elements and three loops (D, anti-codon, and T loops).
Source: RNAcentral
UCCCUGGUAGCUCAGUCGGUAGAGCGUCGGACUGUUAAUCCGUUGGUCGUUGGUUCGAGUCCAACCCAGGGAGCCA